This 406-nucleotide ribosomal RNA is filed under the name uncultured bacterium. Its description in RNAcentral is "partial 16S ribosomal RNA". It matches the Rfam family "Bacterial small subunit ribosomal RNA", at positions 28 to 526 of the family's 1533-position model. The record is from RNAcentral.
GACGAACGCUGGCGGCAUGCCUAAUACAUGCAAGUCGAGCGAGCGGCGGACGGGUGAGUAAUGUCUGGGAAACUGCCUGAUGGAGGGGGAUAACUACUGGAAACGGUAGCUAAUACCGCAUACCAUCGGAUGUGCCCAGAUGGGAUUAGCGAGUAGGUGGGGUAAUGGCUCACCUAGGCGACGAUCCCUAGCUGGUCUGAGAGGAUGACCAGCCACACUGGAACUGAGACACGGUCCAGACUCCUACGGGAGGCAGCAGUGGGGAAUAUUGCACAAUGGGCGCAAGCCUGAUGCAGCCAUGCCGCGUGUGUGAAGAAGGCCUUCGGGUUGUAAAGCACUUUCAGCGGGGAGGCGUUACUCGCAGAAGAAGCACCGGCUAACUCCGUGCCAGCAGCCGCGGUAAUUC